RNA transcript from Formica exsecta, 4355 nucleotides. RefSeq lists it as uncharacterized. NCBI's taxonomy places the organism in Eukaryota, Metazoa, Arthropoda, Insecta, Hymenoptera, Formicidae. The transcript is spliced from 5 exons. The record is from RefSeq and is a predicted model, not a curated record.
UCCUGUCGAGGACUCUUCGCCGAGGUGGUCGAAUAGUCACGCUUUAACCCGCGAUCCGCGAGGCGGACAGCACUCGCCAGGAACGCGCAAGUGCUCGUAAAAGGAAGGAGGCCCCGCAAACAUCCCUUCGGGCCCCUGUCUGUCGCGCUCGCGAGCCUUCACCGUGAUACGUUUUCUUCUACCCCGAAUAGUGGAAAAAUAUCGAUACGAAAAAGGCACCGCAAGUUUGAUUAUGGUGUGCAUUGUUCCAUGAACCGAGGAAGGAUCGACAGUGGUGGCAGAUCGAUUAUCAAACAGACGGGGAGUCGCGUGUGACGGGAAUUUCAGGAUCGAUGUGACCGGCACCGAUGCCAGGAAUUCUGGCUGCGUGGCAACCAGUUGCGAAUGCGAACUGGGGUUGAGUAUAGAAUCCGUAUUAAGCUCAUCAUGAAUGAUCCUUCGGCGUGAAAUCGUAUCGGAAUCGCUGUCAAAAUUCACCGGUGGAGGCUCGCAUGGAUUUUCAAAUCGUAGAGGUGCUUCUCGAGUAAUUUACUUUUUUUUUGUGGAUCGAUCUGGAGAGCGUGGCAGAUCGUCGAGACCGCUGUUGAUUGCAAUUCGAAUGGGAAAGCGCUUUUAUUCAGCGGAAGAGAAUCGCUCUUAAUGUUCGCGAACGACCUGAUCUGCAUAUAUCGAGGAUAGACAACAUUGUAUCACAUCGAUCCGGUUGGCAUAAGUUUACAUACGCGAAUCUCUACAACUCCAAUAUCUUCGUCGUUCAAAAUAUCACAACGUGCGCCUUAACGAUACCAAAAAAAAAAAAAAGGAAAAAGAAACGAAUGACACAGGCCUAACUUGGGAUCAACGGACUAACGAUUUCAAAAAUAUCACGCGAUUUUUUAACGCGUGAACGUCACGCAGCCUUUCUGAAAAGAUUUUUACGUGUGCGACGAAUUAUAUACGCGCGCGCAUUAUCGAAAUGCACGUUUUCCUACAAAACAGCAACGGCUGAAAGGUCGUGAUCGAUCGACUCAAUUUGAUAACCUCCGAAAGAAGGGGUACCUUAGGGUGUACCGUCAUAUAUAGCGAUAAGAUGGGAACUGAAAAGUGAAAGAGGUGAGAGAGAGAGAGAGAGAGAGAGAGAGAGAAGUACUCAGAAAAGCCGUACGUGGUCUAUCUACGCCACGUCGAGAUUUAUAAGUACUGCUACUUGAGCGAAUAUCUUUCGGACCUGAAGAUGCAGACGCGGCGAUAAUCGAAUUGACCGCGAUCACUUGCAUAAUGUCGUAUCAAGACCGUUCGCGGGAAUGGCGUGCUUCGAGCUUCACGUCGCUACAUCGAUUUCAAGAUCGUUUUUCGCAGUAUCCCUUAAAACUUGGGGAGAAAGCUCGCGACAAUAGAAUGUUCGUCGGUCAAACGAUAAUCGUCAAUUAAAAAUCUCGAAUUAAUUGCACUCUCGCCACAAAUUAUAAAUCUCUAGUUUUAUAUAAAAAAAUAAAGAGAAUAUAGAUCGUUCGAUGCAACCUUCAUCGAGUCAUACGACAAAACUACUCGACGACUGCACAUCGCAUUUUCAAAGGUCGAGCUAGUAGACGGCCUCACUCUCAAUGUCUCCUAGAUGCGAAAGACGGAAACCCAAUCGAGUUCACUGGGUCCCCCGUCCCCUGCCGGACGAGUCAUCCACGAGGAAAACGAUGGUCGACGGGUGUCUGCUCGACAGUUGAUCCGCAGAGAAUCGACAACUCCAUAAAUAAGCACGGCCUAAGCGAUGAUCGGCCUGUAGAUUGGCGCGCUCGAUGAAUCGUCGCGGAAACGAGCAUCGAGAAGCAGCAGCGAGCACCACCCGAACAAGAAGAAGAGGCAGGAGAAGAAGAAGACGAAGAAGAAGAGAAGCUUAUAGCCGCGUAGCGUCAUCUCCCUAUCGAAAGAGCCGCGUUCCGGGUGAUGCGCGGAAGUAGCUCCGAACUUCUGCUGGAGGCGAGCUGCAGCCAGUGCCAGAGCGAUCACGAUCGGAGGCAUCGGCGCCGGGACAGCGACGACGGCGGCGGUGGCGACGGGUACGACUUCCACGAGCGGGAGCUACGUCGUCGCAAACUGUUGGAGCUCGGGUUCGGCGCGUCGCGGCGCCGACCGCCACGGCGUACCUGCCGACAGCGGCUUAACUUCUACGCCACGUCGGCCCUGGCCUUCGUCGCGACAUCCGGCGGCGCGGCGCUUCUUUUCCUGGUGCCGCUUUACGUCGAUCCGGCCAUUAGCACCCUGGCGGCGGACUUCUCGCCGCAGCCGGUCAUCUGCACGACCUCGCGACGCGAGGAACUUGUCGGUCUCUUCAACUGCACAUGGAGCUCGUGCCGCGAGGGUUGCACCAGUGACGUGUACAGGUGCACCCACAUAUAUGUCACCUACACGCCGUGGAGUAAUGUCACGAUGAGAAACGACACCGGCGGCAGGAACACCACCGUCGCGACCAACGCCACGACCGCUCUGGACACCGUCACUGCCGUAUCCUCCCCGGGAGACGUCGAGGCGGUGCUGCUGGUGAACAUCAAGGGCUGCGGAUACCCGCCGACAGUCGACUGCGAGAACUUCACCCGCGAGUUGGGUUACGAGGGCGCGAAAUUUCCCUGCCAUUAUAGCCGGGUGAACGGUAGUAUAGUGAUGGCGAACUAUAAUCGCGAGGCACAGAUCACCAUCAUUAUGCACUUCUUCGCGGCGCCUUUCGUAGUGACUCUCGCGACCAGCGUCGCGCUGUGUGUGAUGCACUGUGACUGCAGAUGCACGCCGCCCCCGCGACACCCCCCGCGCGGCAUGAGAAGAUCCAAGGGCAACGAUCUCAGCUGCUGCAUGAGUAUAAAAAAUCGAUAACGAGUUAGAAGCAUGCCGGAAGUCGUCCGUUUUAGAAGGUGUAUUUGAUGAGGCAAAUAAACUUUCUAAACCAUACGUAAGACAAAGCGACUUAACAAUGAGAUGUUACUCCAACGUACUUAUCGUCGUCGUGAAACGAUGCUAAACUCUUUCGGCUGCGAAUACUGCCUUAGAAGAAAAGAACGAAUCGCAGAAACGGAAAUCGGAUAUCGAUUCAUCAUCUCUCGUAAUCCUCCGCUAAUUAACACCAAAAGGCGCAUUCAUCUCAUUAACAAAACGAGUGCGCCACCCGAAAGCCGUGACUGCGCUCUUCGUGCAACGCAAUGAACAUGUGUAAAAAGAGAUCUCUAGAGUUAUCGAUCGGACGCCCGAUCACUCAAUCAGCAAUCGUGUGGAUCGUCGCGGCCACCCGACGUAUUGCGAGUGCGGCGAGGUGACGAGGCCCUUAUGACGACGCGAGGAGACGGCCGAGAGUGCCCUGGCCACAUCGCAGUCCGAUUUCUAGGCCCCGUUCACUCUACCCGUCCUCGACCGUCCUUCCGGCCCUUCGGCCGGCGAUCUCUCUCGUUGAACUCUACUUAUAUGUUUUCCGGCAGCAUUUCUCAUUCCGCUCUCAUGGCACUACCGCACGUGUCUAAAUCAACAUUCGCGUUUAAACGCAUACAUCAAUACGUACGGACGUACCAGACGUACACAUAUACACAUACUGAUACGGAACGCAGGAAUGAGGAAAUAAUCUUUCAAUUCUCCCGGCGACUUGUCCGCCGACUAUAAAGAGUAGAAUUGCUCCCGCAGUAGUUGCUGCAAUGUUACCACGUGGUUAUUGCGUGGUUAAUUGGUACAAGGGCGGUUCGUGGCUAGUAAUUACCAGUGGCUGUGCCGCGAGCUUGGUGGUAAUUGAGCGAUUGACGCGAUUAUAAAGCGCGCGCGACGAUGAAAAGUACCGCUCGCGUGAUGCAUAUCGCACGAUCUGACGAAAGGUAAGCGCAAAUUGGUUAUCACGUACAGAAUGAAUAAUUUCACUCUAUACUGAGAUGCUUAAUGUUACAUAAACAGUGCAUUACGAGCUCAAUGGCGUUUUGUUAAUUAUUAAUUGUUAAUAAUGUCUUGAAAAUAUUUUUUUUUUUCGUGACAUACAUACGUAUAAUAGAAAAUGUUAAAUUAGACAAUCUUGGAAAGAAUGAAUAUGAUUCGAAGGAAGAAUUAGUUUUGCGUAUAUUUUAACUUUAUAUCAUAAACAGUGACUGUUGGCCUCUACGCUCGCGCUAAUUAAUUUCAUUCGACGAUAGCGCGCGCUUUGAAUUCUUCCGACGUUAUUCGUAUACGAAUAUGAGUUUAAUAAUCAAUAUUUGCCGGUCUGUCUGCAAACAAUAAUGAAAAUUGUGAAAUGAUAAACGAUAUUAUAUGCCUCAAAUGUUUUCGGUAAAUAAGAACCUGCGUAAAUAAGGUUACGCUUCUACUACGUAUGAAAUUCUGGAAAUGCUGAAUAAACAUAAACGUAACGUUCUGAUUGC